CGCGUGAGUAACCUGCCUUGGAGUGGGGAAUAACACAUCGAAAGAUGUGCUAAUACCGCAUAAUGCAGUUGGGCCGCAUGGCUCUGACUGCCAAAGAUUUAUCGCUCUGAGAUGGACUCGCGUCUGAUUAGCUGGUUGGCGGGGUAACGGCCCACCAAGGCGACGAUCAGUAGCCGGACUGAGAGGUUGACCGGCCACAUUGGGACUGAGACACGGCCCAGACUCCUACGGGAGGCAGCAG
This 241-nucleotide ribosomal RNA is filed under the name uncultured bacterium. RNAcentral's name for it is "partial 16S ribosomal RNA". It matches the Rfam family "Bacterial small subunit ribosomal RNA", at positions 114 to 354 of the family's 1533-position model. The record is from RNAcentral.